RNAcentral lists this long non-coding RNA (3718 nucleotides) under Phocoena sinus (vaquita). Its description in RNAcentral is "lncRNA (ENSPSNG00000011625.1)". Lineage: Eukaryota; Metazoa; Chordata; Mammalia; Artiodactyla; Phocoenidae. The record is from RNAcentral.
GGGGGUGUGUAUAUAUGAAGGUUGGUCUCUUAAAAUACAUCAUUAAAUAUGUAAUCCAUAAAUAAGUUCUUAAACCUGUCUUUAGGAUAUAGUUUUUGACUGAUACAAGAAAUGAAAUACAUUUUUUUUUUUCUCUAAAUCUAAUCUGUUGUUUUCCUUUAUCAGGCAGACUCAUAGCUUGUCCUGACACUAUUUUUUUUGUUUUUGUUUUUUUUUGUGGUACGCGGGCCUCUCACUGGUGUAGCCUCUCCCAUUGCGGAGCACAGGCUCCGGACGCGUAGGCUCAGCAGCCGUGGCUCACGGGCCCAGCCGCUCCGCGGCAUGUGGGAUCCUCCCAGACCGGGGCGCGAACCCGUGUCCCCUGCACCGGCAGGCGGACUCUUAACCACUGCGCCACCAGGGAAGCCCUAUAGCUUGUCCUAAUUACUGUUUCUCUCAUCAACUAAAACUGUUCUUUCCCAGUAAGUGACCAGCCUCAAACAUUUUUAUCACUUUAAACAAAUACUGUUCUCAGUAUUCUUUUUGCCUUAUUCAUUUAUCAUACGUACAUUUGAUUUGCUUUAAACUUGAUCAUCCAGAACAUUGUUAUAGAGAGUUUUCCUAUAUCAGAGCCCUUGUUGUGUUUUUUCUCAUGACAUUAGGCAACAAUAUAGUGUUAUCAGUCAUCAUUGGCCACAACUUUACUUCUUUAAUUUGAAUCUAGCAUUUUCAAGGCCAUUGUUUCCUAACUGAGAUUGUAGAUCAGACUUCUCUGUGAAGUUUUAUAAAUAUACAGAAGUUUAAGCGCUACUCUGGAUACUCUGAAUCUCUUUACUUGAUAUUCUUGGUAUAAAAAAUUGUCUCAGGGUUAUUAUAUUAAAUCUUAAAAUAUUUUCUGCUAUAGAAAUUAUAUCCAUUCAUUUUUAUAAAUCAGAUCCGAUAUUCACAGGCUUAUUUAAAAAUAGGUUUAAUCAUUAUCCUUGAAGACAUUUUUUCUAAAAUUUGCUUGGAAUGGCUUUCUUAUCUUUGUUUUGCAUGCCGUGGAAACAACCAAAUUUCCUUUUCAGUUUGCGUUAUUCCUAUCAUAAACUCUCUUCAGACCUUUCACAUUUGAAAAUUAUAAAUAAAAUUUGCCUCCAAAAAAGUGUUUGCUUGUAUUAGUUCCUAGUGGCUAUCAGUGAAUAUUUUGCAUAUCUGAGUUAGGUAACAUUUUAAACUAUUAAUAAAAAACAUGAGUAACAAAAUGCUAGAUUUAAAACGUAGACUUAGAUCUCUUACAGCGUUGAAGCUAGUAAUCAGUAGUUUUCCUAAUUAAAAGCAUUGGAUAAAUUCCCUAAGCACUUCUGAGGACUUUUGUAGGUAUAGCCUCUGUAUGGAAAUACUCUUUAAAUUUUCAUAUGGAAAAUCUUAGUAUUACAAAAAAUAAAGCAUUAACAUUUAAGAUAUUUAGGCCUGUACUGGAAAUGAUUCAAAUUUUCUACAUUAAAAAUGUAAGGUCAUCUUAGAUUAUAGGAGUUAUGCUUUUCUUCAGUAUAAGAAGCUUGUGUAAAAGUGGCUGUCUUAUCAGGUACUUUUCUGAUACAUUGUAGUAAUUUAUCAGAUACAUCUUCUUAGAUUAUCUCACUGACAUUUGUCACAUGUGGGUGAUUUCUAAACACAUUGUAGGAUUUGGACCUAUGAAGCUAAUGGCUUUAGUGAAAAAUAAAAGGACAGAGAUAAAAUUGUAUUUACUUUUGUCUUCAUGCCUUUAAUCUUAUAACUGAAAAUUCAGAGAAAAAGAACAAGUAGAAAUUCACUAAUUCAACAUUUGUUUUCUGUGGUUUAGUUUUAACAUGUUUCCUUGGAAACUUAUUUUGCAAAUAUUACCAUAAUAAUAAUAACACCACAAUAUUGUCUCUGAAUUGAAAAAGUUACCCAUUCAUUUUCAAAGUUGACUGCCAGUGGACUUUUGGAUGUUUGUGUGUGUGUGUGUUUUCACUUAUAAUAUGAUGGCUGUCUCAUUAUUUAAAAUUUAUAACUAUUUUUGAGUGUACAAACUGAUUAGCUAUUUAUAAUACUAUUAUAAUAUAGCACUGUAAUUUGAGAAUAAGAAAACAAGUUAGGAUUUAGGUGGGAUUGAAAAAUAAAAUUAUAUUUUAUUGAUUAAAAUAUAGACUUUUAAAAAAGAAGUCUUAUUCCAAUUGGACCUUUUAAAAUUUUAUUUUUCUAAUAAUAUAUUUCAUCUUAAUGUGUAUAAAACUAGAGUUUCUCUGGUAGCCAGUGUACUAAAUAAAUAGUUACUGUUAAAAUGAUAUUUUUGUUGUUCCUUAUCUUGGAAACAUUUCCCCACAAUAUCUAAGCAAUGUGUUUUAAGAUUUAUUGGGCUCAACCUACAAAUUCAACAAAUACUCCUUUUGCAUUUUGGAGGAAAAAACUUAACUGUGAUAUACAUAUUUUGCUCGUCAGAAUGCUAAAAUUAUAUUAAUCAAUAAACACUUUAGAAAGUAGUUCUGGUAAGGAGACAUCUGUUGUUGGACUUAAGUGAAAAAAUUUCAACCUCUUAGUUUCUUAUAUAGGGAUUAAAGAGAAUAACUUUAUUCCUUUGGGAUUUUAACUGGUUUUCUUGGAUAUUUUUCAAAGUAUUUAAUUAUAAUAGUUUCUACAUUUCUUCCAAAAUUAUGGCAUAUUACAGUACAUCUUACUGUUAAAGAUCUUUUAUAUUUUUGACUUUUUUUUCCUAUUAUGCUUUUUACUGCUGUCUCCGAUUCAUAAAUACCAUCACCAAAAAUUUUUUGUGGCUACUGUUUAUUUUAUAGUUAGCUUUAACCAUAUGGCUGGUCUAUUCUCUUCAGGAAUUCCUAACGGGUAUGGCUUUCUUUCCCCCAGCUGUUUGCUUUUAUAGACUUAGAGCAAAAAAAAUUAGCAAAAAAUAAUGAGAGAUCUAGCCAGUCAUUUUCUAUCAGAUGCAUUGCUAUAGAAGUGAAUUCAUUAAGACUGAAAAAUAUUGAACACAUAUAAUUUGUCUCUUAUGUCAGUUUUUCUGGGACCCAGAUUAAAUAGGAGCAUUUCAGUGUUAUCAUAGAAGUGACAGUGACUUGAAUGCAUACACACACACACACACACACACACACACACACAGUCAAUUCAGAGGAGGAUAGAUGAAAAUUUGGAAUUGUUUAAAAAAAAUACUUGCAAAUCGUGCUGCUACUUAAAUAUUUAAGGAAUUCAAACAGUUAUGUAGUUAUCGUAAAGUGUUCCUUGUCAUUUGUUCUACUGGAAUUGACCAUGAAAAAGAAUAUUAAGCCUUAUUUAUAUCCAAUUAUUGACUGUGCAAACUGUGACUCAAUGGAUAUUCGUAUGCCAAAAAAAAAAAGUUUUUAAAGUUGAGAAAGUUUUAGACUUAAUAAAGAUGUAUAAAUAAUUUUGAUUAGUAUUCUCACUAUAAUGAAGCUACUGUUAAUUUGGUGCAAUACAUUCUUCCCUUUCUCAUCCUUUUAAAAUUAAAUAUAUAAGAUGUAUGUUUUGUUUUGUUACUUUGAAUUUUGUUUAAAAAUUUUUCAGUGUGUGUAUAUGAACUAAUGUUUGAUUUGUUUCUGUAUAGCAUGAAUGAAGAUAAUAAUUGAAAAAUUUGCACAUUUUUUAGUCCUUUGGAAAUUUGUAUUCUAACAGUUUUUAAGAAUAUGCAUUUAUUUUGUACAUAAUAAAUUUAGCUUUGUAUAGGAAAAUGGGUUUGAAUCAAAUAAAAAAUGAUGUUUUCUUC